Molecule: ribosomal RNA, 432 nt
Filed under: soil bacterium 12V-14
Lineage: Bacteria
Description: bacterial SSU rRNA
Rfam family: Bacterial small subunit ribosomal RNA
Source: RNAcentral
UCAGGAUGAACGCUGGCGGCGUGCUUAACACAUGCAAGUCGAACGAUGAUGCCCACUUGUGGGUGGAUUAGUGGCGAACGGGUGAGUAACACGUGAGUAACCUGCCCUUGACUCUGGGAUAAGCCUGGGAAACUGGGUCUAAUACCGGAUAUGACCUUCCAUCGCAUGGUGGUUGGUGGAAAGCUUUUGUGGUUUCGGAUGGACUCGCGGCCUAUCAGCUUGUUGGUGGGGUAAUGGCCUACCAAGGCGACGACGGGUAGCCGGCCUGAGAGGGUGACCGGCCACACUGGGANUGAGACACGGCCCAGACUCCUACGGGAGGCAGCAGUGGGGAAUAUUGCACAAUGGGCGCAAGCCUGAUGCAGCGACGCCGCGUGAGGGANGACGGCCUUCGGGUUGUAAACCUCUUUCAGUAGGGAAGAAGCGAAAGUG